This 243-nucleotide microRNA precursor is filed under the name Amborella trichopoda. RNAcentral's name for it is "MIR8562 microRNA precursor family". It matches the Rfam family "MIR8562 microRNA precursor family". The record is from Rfam by way of RNAcentral. Lineage: Eukaryota; Viridiplantae; Streptophyta; Magnoliopsida; Amborellales; Amborellaceae.
UUUUCUACAAAUCGGAAUGAUCUGGAAUUUAGAGCAUAUGUUUAGCAAAAAUAGGCGAAUCUACGAAAAAUAUCAAAAAAAUUAUUUUACAUGAAAUAAAUUGACCAAAAUACCUCCGAAAAGUUUCAGGGGUAUUUUGGUCAAUUUUUUUUUCUCGAAUUAUUUUUUUUAUAUUUUUAUUAGGUGCUUCUCACUAAGAUGUACACACGCUUCAAAUUUCAGAUCAUUUCGAUUUGUAGAAAA